UACGGAGGGGGCUAGCGUUAUUCGGAAUUACUGGGCGUAAAGCGCACGUAGGCGGCUUUGUAAGUUAGAGGUGAAAGCCCGGAGCUCAACUCCGGAAUUGCCCUUAAGACUGCAUCGCUAGAACGUCGGAGAGGUGAGUGGAAUUCCGAGUGUAGAGGUGAAAUUCGUAGAUAUUCGGAAGAACACCAGUGGCGAAGGCGGCUAACUGGACCAUUCUUGACGCUGAGGGACGAAAGCGUGGGGAGCAAACAGG
This 253-nucleotide ribosomal RNA is filed under the name uncultured bacterium. RNAcentral describes it as "partial 16S ribosomal RNA". It matches the Rfam family "Bacterial small subunit ribosomal RNA", at positions 524 to 776 of the family's 1533-position model. The record is from RNAcentral.